GACGAACGCUGGCGGCGUGCUUAACACAUGCAAGUCGAACGGAAAGGCCCCCACUUUUUUGGUGGGGGUGCUCGAGUGGCGAACGGGUGAGUAACACGUGGGUGAUCUGCCCUGUACUUCGGGAUAAGCUUGGGAAACUGGGUCUAAUACCGGAUAGGACCAUGGUUUAGUGUCUCAUGGUGGAGAAAUUAUUGUUUUGGUGCAGGAUGAGCUCGCGGCCUAUCAGCUUGUUGGUGGGGUAAUGGCCUACCAAGGCGUCGACGGGUAGCCGGCCUGAGAGGGUGGACGGCCACAUUGGGACUGAGAUACGGCCCAGACUCCUACGGGAGGCAGCAGUGGGGAAUAUUGCACAAUGGGCGCAAGCCUGAUGCGGCGACGCCGCGUGGGGGAUGACGGCCUUCGGGUGGUAAACUCCUUUCGUUAGGGACGAAGCCGCACCUUUUUUGGGUGUGGUGACGGUACCUUUGUGAAGAAGCACCGGCUAACUACGUG
RNAcentral lists this ribosomal RNA (492 nucleotides) under uncultured bacterium. Its description in RNAcentral is "partial 16S ribosomal RNA". It matches the Rfam family "Bacterial small subunit ribosomal RNA", at positions 28 to 507 of the family's 1533-position model. The record is from RNAcentral.